UACCAGCACCCCGAGUGGUCGGGACGAUUAUUGGGCCUAAAGCAUCCGUAGCCGGUUCUGCAAGUCUCCCGUUAAAUCCACCUGCUUAACAGAUGGGCUGCGGAGGAUACUAUAGAGCUAGGAGGCGGGAGAGGCAAGCGGUACUUAGUGGGUAGGGGUAAAAUCCGUUGAUCCAUUGAAGACCACCAGUGGCGAAGGCGGCUUGCCAGAACGCACUCGACGGUGAGGGAUGAAAGCUGGGGGAGCAAACCGG
RNAcentral lists this ribosomal RNA (253 nucleotides) under uncultured bacterium. Its description in RNAcentral is "partial 16S ribosomal RNA". It matches the Rfam family "Archaeal small subunit ribosomal RNA", at positions 474 to 727 of the family's 1478-position model. The record is from RNAcentral.